CCUACGGGAGGCAGCAGUGGGGAAUAUUGCACAAUGGGGGAAACCCUGAUGCAGCGACGCCGCGUGAGUGAAGAAGUCCUUCGUUGUGUAAAGCUCUUUCAGUAGGGAAGUAAAUGACGGUACCUGAGUAAGAAGCCCCGGCUAACUACGUGCCAGCAGCCGCGGUAAUACGUCGGGGGCCAGCGUUAUCCGGAUUUACUGGGUGUAAGGGGAGCGUAGACGGGAGUGCAAGUCUGGAGUGAAAGUCGGGGGCUCAACCCCCGGACUGCUCUGGAAACUGUACGGCUGGAGUGCAGGAGAGGUAAGUGGAAUUCCUAGUGUAGCGGUGAAAUGCGUAGAUAUUAGGAGGAACACCAGUGGCGAAGGCAGCUUACUGGACUGUAACUGACGUUGAGGCUCGAAAGCGUGGGGAGCAAACAGGAUUAGAUACCCCUGUAGUC
Molecule: ribosomal RNA, 440 nt
Filed under: uncultured bacterium
Lineage: Bacteria
Description: partial 16S ribosomal RNA
Rfam family: Bacterial small subunit ribosomal RNA
Source: RNAcentral